CAAUGUUGGAUAAGAGUCACACUGAACCCAAUUGGCCGCCGGCAAACAGAGCCGGACUUGGUCGUCGGCGAUUUGGCGACCGUCUUAGCUCCGCUCCGCAUACCACCGCGAUUGCCCGGUAAAUUAGGCAACAUAGAUAACUGAAAGAUUUUACAGGAAUUCAAGAGUCCCCGAUUCACUGGUACUAUUCCCUCUCUCUCUUGGACCUAUUAUUAUUACUAUUCGCAACACGCUAUGCAAAUUCUGCAACUGAGGUCUUCAUUUCAAUUAUUGCUAUUGCGUAUCGGUUUGAUCCAUCUCUGUUAUGAUUCUAAUAAUUUAGUCGUACUUAGCGUAACAACAAUCGGUUUGAAUCAUUAAUAUAUAUUUAGUCGUACAGUAUGCUAUGUGUUCAAUUCAACCCUAGGGUAGAAGACUGAUGAGAUUGUUAUAUAUUUGUUCUUGAUUUCUUCUUGCUUGGUUAUUGACAUGUUGCUAACUUGCGUGCUAAUCAUGAAUGUGUUGAAAAUUAAGAUUCUACGUGAUAUCGGGAGGGGGACGAAAGAUCGUAACUCGAGAACUAUAGCAUGAAUCAUAAGAUCUUGCUAAUAGGGAAAAAGUACACCAUAUAUAGUUAUAGUUAUAUAUGCACAUGCAUAAUUUUAUCGUAGACGAAUAAAAUAACCUCUAAAUCACGACAUUAAAUAAGGUUCAUAAGUUCAUAACUACAAAUUUAUAGCGACAAGUUAAUAAAUAAUACACACAAGUAAUAGAGAAACAAAGGGAAGAGGGAGGAGGCUCCGUCGUAGUUACUGGUGGAGGAUAGUUUAAGAGGUGACUCGCUGUCGCUGGCAGAAGAGGAUUUGUUUUGGCCGUGAGUCUGAAGAGAGAACGCGUGAGGAAGAACGAAGUUGUUAUUAUUUCUGAUCUAAAUUUGGAACCUGCUUUUUAAACCCGACCCGAACUGUUUCAAUUUUAAUAAACUGGUUUAUUAAUGUGGCUGAAAAUGGAGACCCAGAUUAAGAAACAAAUCAAGUGCAGCCAACUUGCAAUAAAUACCACUAGUUUAUUGAAUAUCCGCCAUGGCGGCGUGAUGAUCGACAUUAAUGGAGUUUUUGGGCUGGUCACAAUGGUAAAUAUCGGCUGAUAUUGCUACUUUUUCCGCCAUAAUUCGCUAUGAUGGCGCCACAAAGCAGCCAGUAUGGCGGGAUUAUGGCUUUCCACCAUGGACCGCCAUCCGCUAUUGGAAACACUGCUUGAAUCACAAGAUGGUGUGAUCCCCCACACUCCAACUCGCGUUCCCAUCAACAUUAGGGUAAAUCUUGAUAUGAAAAGUGUUGCAAAUGAAUUUAUGAUGGCUUACCGAGUUUGUCUAGUUUGCUUGUGUCCAAGAUCAGCAAACAAAAAAUUCGAGAAUUUUGGAAGAAGGGAAUUGAAAGAAACAAUAGUAUGUAUGGGCUAAAUUUGAAUAGAAAAAGAUAUUUAAGAAUCAAGUUCGAAGAGGCAACAGUGUAAUAAUGAUUUUAUUUUUUCUACAUUGAAACUAGUGUUUUUAAAACUUGAUUUAUCAUUGAAUUAGUGAAAAAUAACAAAGAUAUGGUUCAGGCUUCACUAUUUACCGAUAAUCGAAUUACUGGUGAUUAAAUAUAUGUUUUUAAUUAUGUAUGAGUUAAAGGGACAUCCACAGAUAGUGUAAAUUUGUUUUACAUUGACAUCCAAUUGGAACUCAUCAUUUCGCCACUUCAUAUCAACAAUUUCAGUAUAAACUAGGAGUGAGAUGACAUGGCAAAAUAGUGGACUCUCAUUGGAUGUAUGUGUAAAACAAAUUUACAUUGAUAUUACAUGUUCUUUGAACUAAACCGAAAAUGUCAGGAAUAUUGCCAAGUGAAAAAAAGUAGCAUAAAUAGAUAGUAUCCAACUCCUCAUCUCCAUUAGGCACAACUGUAGUGAGCCUGUGGAUAGCAAGAUGGCCACAAUUCGUGACUGCGAAAACUGCCAUUUUUGAAGGUGGUUCCCAGAGAGAUGGCAUCGCACCCGAACCCUACCACUCACGCUUUUCCGCUAUAGUGGCGCUAUUGACAUCCUUCUUUACAAACCGGUUAUCUAAGGUUGAGUGAGGUCCACUCCAAAUUUUAAGAAAGACACAUGCAAAUUCAUAACUUACUAUACAUGGGGUUAAUAUAAGUAAUUGACUUUCUGCCUGACUCAACACACAAUACUUUUUUCUCCAAGGUGAGAGCUCACUUUAGAAGAGGGAAACCAAUUUUCUUAGUUGCCAAAGUCAAGAUUAGAUGUUAUUAUCUUAAAUAAAUUUUAAAUUAGGAGCACCUAACUGAACUUGAAAGGGUAUGAAAUGUGAGCCUUUGAAAAUGCAUGAUCAACAAUGAUUAACAAGACUUAAUAUGUAAGAGGGUUUGACCCUAUGUGCUAUCUUCAUCCUCUGCUUGCCACACACAACAUGACACACCAACUCUUUUUUUAGAGGAUAGGAAUUUGCUAUCUGUGAUUGUGACUGAAUUCUUUUAGAUUACCAAUUUUCUAUUGUUCGCACUUCCAUGGUUUUUCAUUGUACCUGCAUCUGAGAAUUUGAUUUAGUCCUAAACUUCUAAGAUAGGAAAGUAUUUAGAUUCAACACAAAGUGCCACCAUUAGAUGCUUGCUUGUGCCCCACUCCGGGUGAGUAGAGUUUCAUCUUGUAAGUUGUGAGUGGCUUGGUUAUUCUUAUUUUCUAAUGCUAUAUAUUUAGAUCAACCUUCUUUCUAACAAGUAAUUGAAUUAGGAUCGCAUGAUGUUUUUAACACUUCCCUCUAAUCCAUGCAAUGGACUGGAAUUAUACUUCUAAGGAAAUAUAUUAUUAAGAAACAUUGUGUUGCCAGUUUUUCAUGUUUGGGCUAAUCUAAUCCAUUAAUAGUAUCCACGACUCCACGCACAUAAUAGUGCGACAUAGAUAAUAUAAUAUUAAUAAUCAUUUUGGGCCUUGAAGGAUAAGGGAUUAAUCCAAUUUGUCCGAAGAGAUAGAAAUCACAAAAGUAGUCCCUAAGAGACUGUUUGCGAGUUAGGAGGGGAGGCAAAGGGAGAGCUUCGAAAAAAAGAAAUUUAAAGAAAAUAUAGAGAAAUCUUUAACAUUUUUUGAAAGAAUGAUUUUGAAUAAAAUGAUAAAUGAAUGUUUAUCACUAACAUAUUUUUAAUUUUCGGAAUAUUAUAACAACAUACGUUAAAGUUCAACAAUUUAUCUAAACUUUCCAAAAUCCUCCAAACCCCUCUUCCAAUACAAUUUUUUAGUUCUCCUAAACUAGAGGAACUUUAUAUUAUGAAUGAAAAUAAACCCCACAAAACUCUCUACUUAGAUCUCUCCAUUUCUUUUCACGCAAUGCUUCGCUUUUUUCAAAGCUCUCCCCUCCGUUCUCCUCCAAACUCCCAAACAAAACUUAUGGUUAUGUUUGGGAGUUGGAUUUUGGAGGAUAGGUUUUAGGAAGGCAGUGUCUAUAUUUUAUUUUGGGAAAAACUCUAACAUAAGUCUCACUUCGGUUAAAGAUAGCGUCUAACAAGGAAUUAUAUAAAGUAACACCCCUCACCGUACAAGUCAAUUUUGUAGGAAUGAGUUAUGCCAAAUUUUAAUUCUAACAUGGUAUCAAGAGUCUAUUGAUUCGGGCCACCCACCAUUUAUAUAUCCGCACCACGCCCAAUAGUGUUGGGUGUAAGGGGGUGUAUUGGAAAAACCAAGUCCCACACAAUUUGGGCCACCCACCGUUUAUGCACCAAGCUCAGUAGUGUUGGGCGUGAUGGAGUGUAUUGAAAAAAAUCCAAGUACUCAAAUUUUGCAUUGGUUAAAUAUAGAGUCUAAUAAGAGUUUAUAUAGAGUGAUACCCCUCAUCUUACAAGUUAAUUUUGUAGGGAUGAGUUAGGCCCAAUUCUAAUUCUUACAUUUUAAUAUAUAUUAAAAAUAUGUAUUAGAUAUUUUAACUUUUGAAAAAAUAGUGUAAAACACACCUUAAAUGAUGACCCCAUCUGUAAAUUUGGUUUUAAAUUAAAAGCCUUGAGUUAAAAUUUGCAGAGUUGCACAUGUGGGGCUUUAAGAGUUAAUUGGGAUCAGUGUUAUCAAAUAGCGGCAUCAUGACCUAUUAGGAAGAUCCUAAAGUUCCACAUUGGUUGGAGAUAGAGGAUUGAAAGAGUUUAUAUAGAGUGACACUCUCCUCACCUUGCUAACCGGUUUUGUAAGGAUGAAUUAGGUCAAACUCUAAUAUGGUAUCAGAGUUUAUUGAUCAGGCCAUGGGCCGCCCACCGUUAAUAUACACGCACCAAGCCCAAAAGAAUGUUGGGCGUGAGGGGGUGUAUUAGGAAGAUCCUAAAGUUCCACAUUGGUUGGAGAUAAAGCAUUGAAAGAGUUUAUAUAGAGUGACACUCCUCACCUUACUAACCGGUUUUGUAAGGAUGAAUUAGGUCAAAUCUAAUAUGGCCGCUACGACGGAUAUAUAUGGCGGUUUUUGGACUCGCUGCAAUGAUAAACGUCGGCCAAUAUCACGGGUAUUUCUACCAUAGUCCGCUAUUACAGCGCCGCAAAACGGCCGGUAUGGUGGGAUUUUGGCUCUCCGCCAUGGACCGCCAUAGACAAUAGUGAUUGGGAUUCACAUAUGGCAAAAUUUUACUCAUCUUCGUCAAAAAAUUUCAUUAUUUCUUCUUUCCCCAUUUUAUCAAAAAAUGAAUCAAGGAGGUAAAAAUUCAUUUUUGUUCCACAUCUUGGUCUUAGAUGGCCUUAUGUAUUCUAUUUAUAUUUAUAUUUUCCAGCAAUAAAAGGGCAGGGAGUGUAGUAAAAAGGAUUAGUUUACAUGGUAUAGUAUCAGUGAAACUAUAGUAAUUGCUAAUUAGAACAACUAAUUUAUCCUUAGGCACUAGUGGAUGGUGGAAUUAGUCGGUAGUGUUAUCAAAUUUCCCCGCUAUGGCGGAUAUACAUGGCAGUUUUUGGGCUCGCCGCAAUGGUAAAUAUCGGUUGCUAUUGUGGGUUGUUCCACCAUAAUCCGCAAUAAUGGCGCCGCAAAGCGGCCGGUAUUGCGGGAUUUUGGCUCUCUGCCAUGCACCACCAACCGCUAUCGACAAUACUCGGCCGGUAGACCAAAUACCGGGUUUUCAGAAAAAUGAAAAUAGAUAAUGUAACCUCAGGUAGCAUUUGCUAAAUAAUUUGGAACAGAACAGACUCAAUUAAAACAAAAAGGUAAAACAAGUACUGCAUUUUGAUUUCAUUGGAAAAAAGGUGGAAUCAAAGAGAAGAAAGCAAAAUACGUAGUUCCAUUCCGUUCUGUUUGUAUGCCAUAUGCUUCUAGUAUCUAUACUCAUCAAAUUACACGGCCACACACAUACGUAUAUAUAGUUGCGGUCAGUGUUAUCAAAUAGCGGCGCCAUGACCGCUAUGGCCAGUAUGGUGGGAUUUUGGCUCUCCGCCAUGGACUGCCAUCCGCCAUUGACAACAUUGUUUGCAGUUCCUAUGUAACCUCAUUCAUCCUUCUCAACUGCUUGAGUUUUGCUUUUCAUGUUUAAUUAUUUGAACUAGUUGCUAUCGUUGCAGUUUUGUCCACUUUUUUCAGCCACCUGGGCCCCAUUAGAGGGUGCCACACUUUUGCCCAAUCCAAAACCCCUGUUUUGUCAUUUUUGGAAUCAUAGCGGUAUAUCUUAACUUUUCGCGAUAGAUAUGAUACUUCUUUUGUUGGAUCAUGCAUGAUAUUUAAGUAUUUCUAUUACAUCUAGCCUUUUUUGCCAGCAAUGGCUUGAAACAGACUAUCAAAUUUUGAAAAAGGGAUAAUUCAUCAAAGGCUUAAUUUCUCCCCUAGAAAGCCAUACCAGAGCACUGCAUAGCAGCUUGGUACUGAACAUGUGGUUCAACCCAAAGUUUAAACAGAAGUUUUCUUCCUAGAUAAGGACACAGACAACCCAUGUAAUCAUGUUGAAGCUUCUACAAGUAUAUAAUAACAAUGAAAUUUUAUUUA
Vicia villosa (hairy vetch) is the source of this 5956-nucleotide long non-coding RNA. RefSeq lists it as uncharacterized. The record is from RefSeq and is a predicted model, not a curated record. NCBI's taxonomy places the organism in Eukaryota, Viridiplantae, Streptophyta, Magnoliopsida, Fabales, Fabaceae. The transcript has 2 exons.